RNAcentral lists this ribosomal RNA (576 nucleotides) under Rhizosphaera macrospora. Its description in RNAcentral is "partial large subunit ribosomal RNA". It matches the Rfam family "Eukaryotic large subunit ribosomal RNA", at positions 76 to 666 of the family's 3401-position model. Lineage: Eukaryota; Fungi; Ascomycota; Dothideomycetes; Dothideales; Dothideaceae. The record is from RNAcentral.
UGCCCUAGUAACGGCGAGUGAAGCGGCAAUAGCUCAAAUUUGAAAGCUGGCCUCUGGUCCGCAUUGUAAUUUGUAGAGGAUGCUUUUAGGCAGCCGCCGGUCUAAGUUCCUUGGAACAGGACGUCAUAGAGGGUGAGAAUCCCGUAUGUGACCGGCUCAGGCACCUUCUGUAAAGCUCCUUCGACGAGUCGAGUUGUUUGGGAAUGCAGCUCUAAAUGGGAGGUAAAUUUCUUCUAAAGCUAAAUACUGGCGAGAGACCGAUAGCGCACAAGUAGAGUGAUCGAAAGAUGAAAAGCACUUUGGAAAGAGAGUUAAAAAGCACGUGAAAUUGUUGAAAGGGAAGCGCUUGCAAUCAGACUUGGCUUAGAUUGUUCAACCGGUCUUCUGACCGGCCUAUUCAUUCUGAGCCAGGCCAGCAUCAGUUUCGGCGGCCGGAUAAAGGCCUUGGGAAUGUGGCCCUCCCUUCGGGGUGGGUGUUAUAGCCCAGGGUGUAAUACGGCCAGCCGGGACUGAGGUCCGCGAUUCGUCUAGGAUGCUGGCGUAAUGGUUGUAAGCGGCCCGUCUUGAAACACGGAC